Molecule: transfer RNA, 84 nt
Filed under: Aeromonas hydrophila
Lineage: Bacteria; Pseudomonadati; Pseudomonadota; Gammaproteobacteria; Aeromonadales; Aeromonadaceae
Description: tRNA-Leu
Source: RNAcentral
AUAUGGAUGGUUGUCUGUAGUAGCAGCGGAUUCAAAAUCCGCCGGUGAAUAACCGUGUCGGUUCGAGUCCGACCCCGGGCACCA